Molecule: long non-coding RNA, 185 nt
Organism: Telopea speciosissima
Lineage: Eukaryota; Viridiplantae; Streptophyta; Magnoliopsida; Proteales; Proteaceae
Exons: 2
Source: RefSeq, a predicted model, not a curated record
GACUCAAUAAAUCUCAUCCUAUAGCAAGUGGGCAAAGAAAGUGUCUGAAACACUACCACCUACCAAUCCUCUUAAAAGGAGGGGAAAAUCUAAAAAAUAGUCAGAUGUAGACCUACAUGCUAUCAUUUCUCAGAGACAAAGCCAGAGGCAAGAACAAUUUGAAUCUAUAUUCUCAUCAUUGGAGG